RNAcentral lists this non-coding RNA (28 nucleotides) under Mus musculus (house mouse). Lineage: Eukaryota; Metazoa; Chordata; Mammalia; Rodentia; Muridae. The record is from RNAcentral.
UGAAUUUUGAGGGACACCAACUGAAACU